This 694-nucleotide ribosomal RNA is filed under the name Stenotrophomonas sp. Its description in RNAcentral is "bacterial SSU rRNA". It matches the Rfam family "Bacterial small subunit ribosomal RNA", at positions 31 to 712 of the family's 1533-position model. The record is from RNAcentral. Lineage: Bacteria; Pseudomonadati; Pseudomonadota; Gammaproteobacteria; Lysobacterales; Lysobacteraceae.
GAACGCUGGCGGUAGGCCUAACACAUGCAAGUCGAACGGCAGCACAGUAAGAGCUUGCUCUUAUGGGUGGCGAGUGGCGGACGGGUGAGGAAUACAUCGGAAUCUACCUUUUCGUGGGGGAUAACGUAGGGAAACUUACGCUAAUACCGCAUACGACCUUCGGGUGAAAGCAGGGGACCUUCGGGCCUUGCGCGGAUAGAUGAGCCGAUGUCGGAUUAGCUAGUUGGCGGGGUAAAGGCCCACCAAGGCGACGAUCCGUAGCUGGUCUGAGAGGAUGAUCAGCCACACUGGAACUGAGACACGGUCCAGACUCCUACGGGAGGCAGCAGUGGGGAAUAUUGGACAAUGGGCGCAAGCCUGAUCCAGCCAUACCGCGUGGGUGAAGAAGGCCUUCGGGUUGUAAAGCCCUUUUGUUGGGAAAGAAAAGCAGUCGAUUAAUACUCGGUUGUUCUGACGGUACCCAAAGAAUAAGCACCGGCUAACUUCGUGCCAGCAGCCGCGGUAAUACGAAGGGUGCAAGCGUUACUCGGAAUUACUGGGCGUAAAGCGUGCGUAGGUGGUUGUUUAAGUCUGUUGUGAAAGCCCUGGGCUCAACCUGGGAAUUGCAGUGGAUACUGGGCGACUAGAGUGUGGUAGAGGGUAGUGGAAUUCCCGGUGUAGCAGUGAAAUGCGUAGAGAUCGGGAGGAACAUCCA